AAAAAGACAAACCCUGGUUUCCGUGCCGAACGUUUUCCGUCUUAUUUUGAAAAAAUUAUGAAAAAAAUUAAAAAGACAAGUCACGUAUAAAAUAUUAAUCAUGUUUUAUCAUCUAACAACAAUGAAAAUGCGAAUUAUAAAAAAAUUUUAUAUAAGACGGACAGUUAAAAUUGGAUACGGAAACCCAGGGUUUACUUUUUU
This is a microRNA precursor of Oryza rufipogon (brownbeard rice), 201 nucleotides long. It matches the Rfam family "MIR812 microRNA precursor family". The record is from Rfam. NCBI's taxonomy places the organism in Eukaryota, Viridiplantae, Streptophyta, Magnoliopsida, Poales, Poaceae.